RNA transcript from Aethalodelphis obliquidens (Pacific white-sided dolphin), 4142 nucleotides. It is a transcript of the gene named bone marrow stromal cell antigen 1, with no coding region annotated. The transcript has 10 exons. The record is from RefSeq and is a predicted model, not a curated record. NCBI's taxonomy places the organism in Eukaryota, Metazoa, Chordata, Mammalia, Artiodactyla, Delphinidae.
CACCCCUUCUCCAACCUUGCUUCUUCUUUGGGCCUCCCACCUCGUGGACUCCGGCCGAGAUUAGCCAAGGGCAGUACUCCUGCCCCCGGAAAUAUCCCAACUCAGUUCCGGAGCUGAAGCAGAAAGAGAGACAGCAAGUGAGCGCCGGUUCCGUUAGGGCUCGGGGAGCCACCUCAGCGCGACGGGAGGAGGCGAGUCUGGGAGGCACCCCCAAAGUGACUGCGAUGGAAGCCCGGGGGUGCGCGCGGUCCCGGCGGCCGCUGCCGGCGCUGCUGCUGAUCCUGCUGCUGCCGCCGGCCGCGGGCGCUGCAGGCGCUGCGGACGCGCGCUGGAGCGGGCAGGGCACCACCCCACACCUGCAGAGCAUCUUCCUGGGCCGCUGCGCGGAGUACAUUGCGGUGCUGAGCCCCGAGCUGCGGGACAAGAACUGCACAGCCAUCUGGGAAGCCUUUAAACUGGUGCUGGAUAAGGAUCCCUGUUCUGUGCUUCCCUCAGAUUACGACCUUUUUAUUAACCUCUCCAGGCACUCCAUUCCCAGAGAUAAGUCCCUAUUCUGGGAAAACAACCACCUCCUUGUCACCAGCUAUGCGGAGAACGGCCGCCGCUUUAUGCCACUGUGCAAUGUUCUGUAUGGCAUGGUCGGAGAUUUCUUGAGCUGGUGUCGACAGAAAAAUGCCUCUGGACUUGACUACCAAUCCUGCCCUACAUCUGAAGAUUGUGAAAACAAUCCUGUGGAUUCUUACUGGAAAAGUGCAUCCAUCCAGUAUGCAAAGGAUAGUUCUGGGGUGAUCAAUGUCAUGCUGAAUGGUUCAGAGCCAACAGGAGCCUAUCCUGUAAAAGGGUUUUUUGCAGAUUUUGAAAUUCCCCACUUACAGAAGGAUAAAAUCACACGCAUUGAGAUCUGGGUUAUGCAUGAAAUCGGGGGAACCAAUGUGGAAUCCUGUGGAGAAGGCAGUGUGAAAAUCCUGGAAGAGAGACUGGAGAAAAUGGGUUUCCAGUAUAGCUGUAUCAAUGACUACAAACCAGUGAAGCUCUUACAGUGUGUGCAACACAGCACUCAUCCUGACUGUGCCUUAAAUUCUUGAUGAGUGGCACUGCAUGAGAGCUCCCCCUUCUGACCUCCUGACUCCAUUUAAGUGAUGAGAAAACUGAGGCUUGACAAGGUUAAAUCACUUCUGCAAGGUCACCCAGUUAGCAAUGGAGGAGAAGUGUUACAACCAGGUGGACUGACUCCAUCAUUGAGGUGCUUUUCUCCAUCUGCUGCACUAAAUAAGGCCCCAGGAAUGUUAACAACACUUGGAUUCUGCUCCAGAACCCUCCGAACUCACUUCCCCCUUCCUCUUUCUAUUUCCUCAGUCUUCUUAGAUCUCCAACCCCACACUCCACCUACCAUUUAUGUCUUUGCUUUUCUUUUGCACUUUGACACCAGUCUCUCUUGUCCCAAACUGAACUCCCAUCUUUUCUACACCUGCAUCUCUCCUCCUCACCUCAGCACAUUUAAGGACACUUGUCAGGGUGACAUGCCUUCUACCUCACCUUCCCAGAGCUGACAUUGUCAGAUCCCUAUUCAGACCGCCUGAGCAUUGUAGGUGGGCAUUAGACUUAGAGCUAGAAUCCUUCCAGGUGUGCAGAUGAGCAUGAGGUAUUACCAGUGUCAAGAUUUUUUUUUUUUUGUAGCUGAGGCCCAUGGGUUUUGGAGAAGCCUGGUAUGGAUGGUUGAAACUUGGGAUUUUUUUUUUUCUUUUUAUAUAAAUGCUGAACACGUGUAUCCUUUGUCAUGAAAUACCAGGUUAUGGAUGUCUUACCUUAGCUUCAGAGAAUACAUUUGACCAAGGUUUCUAGAAGAAAGAAGGAAAGAAAGAAAGGAAAGAAAGAAAGAAAGAAAGAAAAAAGAAAACCUUCUCUGUAAUGUUUCACAACGCUGUCCCUGUUCACUCACCAUAACAACCCAUGUGCCAUGACAAGAAGUAGAGCAUUAUAAAGAGAGGCAGGAUGAACAAGCUUGCCAAAGCAACUUUUGUUCUCAAUUCAGCCUUGGAAUUCAUCAUUUCUUCUUCUUUGUGUAGGUUCCAGAAUUUUAUGAUACCUCUCCCCCUACCCAAUGAGCUCUAAUAGGUUUCCAGAGGGAUCCAGACCUUACCAUGUAUCUUAUUAUUGAGGAUAUCACUUGAGUUAGCGCCUCUUCCCACCAUGUCUAGCAACAGUAGAUUAGACAAGUGUCCAAACGACAUAAAUCCUACUGGCCAACCGGAAGAAAAAGGAGGUAGAGCGAGCUUCAAGGGUUGUGAUCUGUGCAGUUACACAGGGACCCGUGCUCAGAGGGGCCCAUGCUUGGUUUACUGUUCUUCUGUCUCUGUCUUUAAAUUUUUAAUUUUUGAACAAGGAGCACAGCAUUUUCGUUUUUCACUGGGACCUGUAAAUUAUGUAGCUGGUCCUGAGUGGAAGUAAAGCAUUCCAAAGCAAAGGGAGCCUUAUUCUGUCGAAGGUGGCCCUGUUAUAUAUAUAAGAAAUAGGUUAUGGAGGCCCUGACUGUGCCCAAUCUUGAUCACAGGCUUUCAGCGCUUAAUGGGAGCUGAAAACACCCCUGUUGGCUCCUCUUCAGCGUAUUUCAUAUACCUGGGGAAUUUUUUAUCUUCUAAGUCCCGCUUCCCCAAGAAGGAAGCUAGCAGCAUGCUUUCCCAGUCUUCUUUGAAGCUAGGGUGCAGACAUGUGACGUGUACUUCGCUGGUCAGGUGCUCAUGCAGGAGACUUCCCUUCAGGGGAAAGAGAGGUGAACAUGGAGAUGCCUCCAGGAUUUGGCCUGAUCAGAGGGGAAAGGCAUGAAGAGUGGGGUGUUAUUGGUGCCUUGACUGGUGCAGGCUGAGGCGACCGUGCCCAGCGGUCACUGGGCUCAGAAUCUCUGCUGGGUGGAUGGACGUUGUUAAUUUGGGUGUGGUUUCAGGUUUCAUAGUCUGGAAGUUUCAUUCCCUGACUCUCCUGGAGAUUCUAUGAGUGCUUUCUGCUUACACUGGCUGGAGUGGAUUCUGUUGUUUGCAACUGAUAAGCUUCUGACUCUAACUGAAGCCCUCUCCAGCUCAAGGUGAAGGUUAGAGAUGACUUGCUCAGCCAUGUCUCCAUAUUUUGGGAGCUUAUGAGGUUUUUCACUGAUGAAGAGGAGCAUCCCUAUGUGAAAUGGCAGUGGUUGCCAGUGUGCGUGUCUGGGCUUGCCAAUUUCCUGUGGUUUCUGGUGCCCUUGUGGUAUACUUUCUUUCUAACUUGCAGUGGUGGACAGAAGUGCUGAGUGUCCAUCACUUUACACUUCUGCUGCUGAGGUCUGAGCCACCAUCUCUUCUUGUAUGAAUCUCAACAACUCCCCUGCUCCCCCCCCCCCCCCAAAAAGGAUACUGUCUUAGUCCACUUCGGCUGCUGCUAUAAUAAAAUACUACAGACUGGGUAGCUUAAAAACAGUAGAAAUGUAUUUCUCACAGUUCUGGAGGCUGAGAAGUCCAAGAUCAAGUUACCAGCAAGGUCAUGUUCUGGUGAGGACCCUCCUCUUGAUACGUAAGCAGGGGCAUUCUUGCUGUGUCCUUACAUGGAAGAAUGAACUAGGGGUCUCUCUGGAGCCUCUUUGUAAAGGCACUCAUCUCAUUCAUGAGGGCUCCACCUUCAAGGCUUAAGCACCUCCCCAAACCAUCACUUCAGCCAUUAGGAUUUCAACAUUUUGGGGAUGAGUUUUGGGAGGACCACAAACAUUUAGACCAUAACAAGCACUGAUGCCCAAGCCAACUCAGAACUCUUCAUAGCUCAUCCAUCUUGCACUCCACCCCUUCACCUUAGAGGGUUCAACCAAACUCUAUCCACAAAGCCAUCUGGCUCUCCCUGUGUGCUCAGAAUGCUCUAACCUUCUGCUCCACCCACUACAUCUCUGCCAGUUAUCUCCUGCUCAUCAUUUAGAUCUCAGCUCAAGGGUCUCUUCCUCCAUGAAGCUUUCCCUGACCACCAUUCCCACUCUAGGUCAGAUUCAAAGUUCUUUUCCUUAUUUCGGUUUGUAAUUGUACGUUUGUUAAUAUGAAUAUUGAUUAACAUCUGUACCUGCCCACUUACAACAAGGCCAGGGACCAGAGGUAGCAUUAAAAAUAACCAUCACUAAAAAAAAAAAAAAA